Molecule: microRNA, 22 nt
Filed under: Chrysemys picta bellii (western painted turtle)
Lineage: Eukaryota; Metazoa; Chordata; Testudines; Emydidae
Also listed under: 1 other name
Description: Cpi-Mir-9578_3p* (star (passenger))
Source: RNAcentral
CAUGCUCUGCCUGUGUCCCAAA